This 481-nucleotide ribosomal RNA is filed under the name uncultured bacterium. RNAcentral describes it as "bacterial SSU rRNA". It matches the Rfam family "Bacterial small subunit ribosomal RNA", at positions 56 to 504 of the family's 1533-position model. The record is from RNAcentral.
UGCAAGUCGAACGCAAUCUUUUAACAAUGAGUGCUUGCACUCAGCGUUUUAAGUGCGAGUGGCGAACGGGUGAGUAACACGUGGGCAAUCUGCCCAAAAGUGGGGGAUAACACUUGGAAACAGGUGCUAAUACCGCAUCAACCGGCUGACCGCAUGGUCGGCCGGGCAAAGACGGCGUCAGCUGUCGCUUUUGGAUGAGCCCGCGGCGUAUUAACUAGUUGGUAAGGUAACGGCUUACCAAGGUGAUGAUACGUAGCCGAACUGAGAGGUUGAUCGGCCACAUUGGGACUGAGACACGGCCCAAACUCCUACGGGAGGCAGCAGUAGGGAAUCUUCCACAAUGGACGCAAGUCUGAUGGAGCAACGCCGCGUGUAUGAAGAAGGUCUUCGGAUCGUAAAAUACUGUUGUCAGAGAAGAACACGUGAUAGAGUAACUGCUAUGGCGCUGACGGUAUCUGACCAGCAAGUCACGGCUAACUAC